GAGUUUGAUCAUGGCUCAGGACGAACGCUGGCGGCGUGCUUAACACAUGCAAGUCGAACGGAAACGCCCCCACUUUUUUGGUGGGGGUGCUCAAGUGGCGAACGGGUGAUUAACACUUGGGUGAUCUGCCCUGCACUUCGAGAUAAGCUUGGGAAACUGGGUCUAAUACCGGAUAGGACCAUGGUUAAGUGUCUCAUGGUGGAAAAAUUAUUGUUUUGGUGCAGGAUAAUCUCGCGGCCUAUCAUCUUGUUGGUGGGGUAAUGGCCUGACCAAGGCGUCGACGGGUAUCCGGCCUGAAACGGUGGACCGCCACACUUGGGACUGACAUACAGCCCAAACUCCUGCAGGAGGCAGCAAUGGGGAAUAUUGCACACUGGGCGCAAUGCCUGAUGCCGCCACGCCGCGUGGGGGAUGACGGCCUUCAGGUUGUAAACUCCUUUCAUUAAGGACGAAGCCUCACCUGUUUUGGGUGUGGUGACUGUACCUUUGUUAAGAAGCACCUGCUAACUUCCUGCCAGCCGCCGCAGUAAUACGUAUGGUGCCAUCGUUCUCCAGAAUUACUGGGCGUACAGACCCCGAAGGUGGUUUGUUGCGGCUUCUGUGAAAUUCCGGGGCUUAACUUCAGGGUGGUCAUGCGAUACGGGACUAACUAGAGUGCUAGUAAGGUAGACAUGCAAUUCCUGGUGUUGCAGUGGAAUGCGCAGAUAUCAGGAGGAACACCGAUGGCGAAGGCAGCUCUCUGGGCAGUAACUGACGCUGAGGAGCGAAAGCAUGGGGAGCGAACAGGAUUAGAUACCCUGGUAGUCCAUGCUGUAAACGGUGGGCGUUAGGUGUGGGGACCGCUUUGGUUUCUGUGCGGUAGCUAACGCAUUAAGCGCCCCGCCUGGGGAGUACGGCCGCAAGGCUAAAACUCAAAGGAAUUGACGGGGGCCCGCCCCAGCGGCGGAGCAUGUGGAUUAAUUUGAUGCAACGGGAAGAACCUUACCUGGGUUUGACAUGCACCAGACUGUUGUAGAGACACGUACCUCCCUUUGUGGUCGGUGUGCAGGUGGUGCAUGGUUGUCGUCAGCUCGUGUUGUGAGAUGUUGGGUUAAGUUCCGCAACGAGCGCAACCCCUGUCUUAUGUUGCCAGCACUUUGGGUGGGGACUCAUGAGAGACUGCCGGGGUUCACUCGGAGGAAGGUGGGGAUGACGUCAAAUCAUCAUGCCCCUUAUGCCCAGGGCUUCACACAUGCUACAAUGGUUAGUACAACGGGCAGCACACCUGUGAGGGUGAGGGAAUUGUUGAAAGCUAAUCUCAGUUCGGAUUGGGGUUUGCAACUCGACCCCAUGAAGUUGGAGUUGCUAGUAAUUGCAGAUCAGCAAUGCUGCGGUGAAUACGUUCCCGGGCCUUGCACAGGCCGCCCGUC
This 1409-nucleotide ribosomal RNA is filed under the name uncultured bacterium. Its description in RNAcentral is "bacterial SSU rRNA". It matches the Rfam family "Bacterial small subunit ribosomal RNA". The record is from RNAcentral.